Molecule: ribosomal RNA, 459 nt
Filed under: uncultured Anaerolineae bacterium
Lineage: Bacteria; Bacillati; Chloroflexota; Anaerolineae
Description: bacterial SSU rRNA
Rfam family: Bacterial small subunit ribosomal RNA
Source: RNAcentral
GAUGAACGCUAGCGGUGUGCUUAAUGCAUGCAAGUCGAACGAUAACUUUUGAUUCGUCGAAAGGGAAAGUGGCGAACGGGUGAGUAACACAUAGGUGACCUGCCCCGAAGAGGGGGACAACCAUUAGAAAUGAUGGCUAAUACCCCAGACGUUGACCUUUUUAGAAAGGGUUGACUAAAGCUCCGGCGCUUCGGGAGGGGCCUGUGUCCCAUCAGCUAGUUGGUAAGGUAACGGCUUACCAAGGCGAAGACGGGUAGGGGGCGUGAGAGCGCGACCCCCCACACUGGUACUGAUACACGGACCAGAUACCUACGGGUAGCAGCAGCAAGGAAUAUUGCGCAAUGGGCGAAAGCCUGACGCAGCAACACCGCGUGAAGGACGAAGGCUCUCGGGUCGUAAACUUCUUUUCUGGGGGAUGAGAAAGGACAGUACCCCAGGAAUAAGCCUCGGCUAACUACG